Molecule: long non-coding RNA, 172 nt
Organism: Haliotis rubra (blacklip abalone)
Lineage: Eukaryota; Metazoa; Mollusca; Gastropoda; Lepetellida; Haliotidae
Exons: 3
Source: RefSeq, a predicted model, not a curated record
AAACUCAGUGAUAACUUAUUGUUACUUGAUUGGAAUUUUUAGAGAAGUAUUUGGACUUUUUCUGCAUCCCAGUUGAUGAGCUAAUAAAUUUCGUUGCGUCCAUUUUCAAUUUUUAUGCGUAAAGGACGCAGGAAUUUGCGUCCUGUAAAUCCCUGCUGCAGAUAACAAAAAG